UACAGAGGGUGCGAGCGUUAAUCGGAAUUACUGGGCGUAAAGGGUGCGUAGGUGGUUUGAUUAGUUAGGUGUGAAAGUCCUGGGCUUAACCUGGGGACUGCGCCUAAUACUGUCAAGCUAGAGUACUGUAGAGGAAGGUAGAAUUUCCAGUGUAGCGGUGAAAUGCGUAGAUAUUGGAAGGAAUACCUGUGGCGAAGGCGACCUUCUGGACAGAUACUGACACUGAGGCACGAAAGCGUGGGGAGCAAACAGG
This 253-nucleotide ribosomal RNA is filed under the name uncultured bacterium. RNAcentral describes it as "partial 16S ribosomal RNA". It matches the Rfam family "Bacterial small subunit ribosomal RNA", at positions 524 to 776 of the family's 1533-position model. The record is from RNAcentral.